GUCUACGGCCAUACUACCCUGAACACGCCUGAUUUCGGCCUACAGACUUGGAGGUUAAAGGGUCAGGCCUGGUUAAUACUUGGGAGACUGCCUUAGACUCUCAGGUGCUUUAUAGU
This 116-nucleotide ribosomal RNA is filed under the name Lates calcarifer (barramundi perch). The record is from RNAcentral. Lineage: Eukaryota; Metazoa; Chordata; Actinopteri; Centropomidae.